Molecule: ribosomal RNA, 484 nt
Filed under: uncultured bacterium
Lineage: Bacteria
Description: partial 16S ribosomal RNA
Rfam family: Bacterial small subunit ribosomal RNA
Source: RNAcentral
AUUGAACGCUGGCGGCAGGCCUAACACAUGCAAGUCGAGCGGAUGAAGGGAGCUUGCUCCUGGAUUCAGCGGCGGACGGGUGUGUAAUGCCUAGGAAUCUGCCUGGUAGUGGGGGAUAACGUCCGGAAACGGGCGCUAAUACCGCAUACGUCCUGAGGGAGAAAGUGGGGGAUCUUCGGACCUCACGCUAUCAGAUGAGCCUAGGUCGGAUUAGCUAGUUGGUGGGGUAAAGGCCUACCAAGGCGACGAUCCGUAACUGGUCUGAGAGGAUGAUCAGUCACACUGGAACGUAGACACGGUCCAGACUCCUACGGGAGGCAGCAGUGGGGAAUAUUGGACAAUGGGCGAAAGCCUGAUCCAGCCAUGCCGCGUGUGUGAAGAAGGUCUUCGGAUUGUAAAGCACUUUAAGUUGGGAGGAAGGGCAGUAAGUUAAUACCUUGCUGUAUUGACGGUACCAACAGAAUAAGCACCGGCUAACUUCGUG